AUUGAACGCUGGCGGCAGGCCUAACACAUGCAAGUCGAGCGAGUGGCGGACGGGUGAGUAAUGUAUGGGGAUCUGCCCGAUGGAGGGGGAUAACUACUGGAAACGGUAGCUAAUACCGCAUACCAUCGGAUGUACCCAGAUGGGAUUAGCUAGUAGGUGGGGUAACGGCGCACCUAGGCGACGCUCUCUAGCUGGUCUGAGAGGAUGAGCAGCCACACGGGAACUGAGACACGGGCCAGACUCCUACGGGAGGCAGCAGUGGGGAAUAUUGCACAAUGGGCGCAAGCCUGAUGCAGCCAUGCCGCGUGUAUGAAGAAGGCCUUAGGGUUGUAAAGUACUUUCAGCGGGGAGGCGUUACCCGCAGAAGAAGCACCGGCUAACUCCGUGCCAGCAGCCGCGGUAAUUC
This 406-nucleotide ribosomal RNA is filed under the name uncultured bacterium. RNAcentral's name for it is "partial 16S ribosomal RNA". It matches the Rfam family "Bacterial small subunit ribosomal RNA", at positions 30 to 526 of the family's 1533-position model. The record is from RNAcentral.